RNAcentral lists this ribosomal RNA (407 nucleotides) under uncultured bacterium. RNAcentral's name for it is "partial 16S ribosomal RNA". It matches the Rfam family "Bacterial small subunit ribosomal RNA", at positions 28 to 526 of the family's 1533-position model. The record is from RNAcentral.
GACGAACGCUGGCGGCGUGCCUAAUACAUGCAAGUAGGACGCAGUUGCGAACGGGUGAGUAAAGCGUAGGUAACUACCUAUAAGAGGGGGAUAAAUAGUGGAAACGAUAGCUAAUACCGCAUACUAGUAGAUGGACCUGCGUUGUAUUAGCUAGUAGGUUGGGUAAUGGCCUACCUAGGGAACGAAACCUAGCCGACCUGAGAAGGUGGUCGGGCACAACUGGACUGAGACCCGGGCCCGACUUCUACAGGAAGCAGCAGUUGGGAAUCUUCGGCAAUGGGGGGAACCCUGACCGAGCAACGCCGGCGGGGUGAAGGAGGUUUUCGGGUCGUAAAGCUCUGUUGUGAAGGAAGCGGUACUUAACCAGAAAGCGACGGCUAACUACGUGCCAGCAGCCGCGGUAAUUC